AUGUCUAGGAUUAUUGUAUAUAGAGCCCUCUUGUUCCGUCUACUACUCCAGUAUGCAGUACAUGCGCGCGACUCUCGCUCUUCCUCACAUGGAGCACUUCACGCUCCCAUACUACUACCACUUCGCCCUAUUCCUCUUCCUUGCUAUCCUCCUCCAUGGCGUCCUACGCGCCACCGCCGAGCAGCCCCGCCCGAGGCUGCCUCCCGGCCCGUGGCAGCUUCCGGUCAUCGGCAGCCUGCACCACCUGCUGCGCGGGCUCCCACACCGCACCAUGCGCGACCUCUCCCUCGCCACGGCCCGCUCAUGCUGCUCCGGGUGUGCGAGCGCGUGGCCAUCGUCGUCUCCUCCGCCGAGGCCGCGAGGGCGAUCUACAAGGGCAACGAGGCCGCCUUCUCGGAGCGGCUAAGCAGCCCGAGCAUCGACGAGCUCUCCAGGCAGCAUGGCCAGGGGAUCGUCUUCGCGCCCUACGGCGACCACUGGCGCCUGCUCCGCCGGAUCCUCAUGACAGAGCUGCUCAGCGCGCGGCGCGUUGAGGCGUUCCGGCAGAUCCGCGCGGAGGAGGCGGCUCGCCUAGUCUCGUCGCUUCACGCGACGUCCGAUGGCCGGCUCGUGAACAUGGACGAGCCCGAGCGGCUCGACGAGUUCAUGACAGACUCGGCCGUGCGCGGCAUCUUCGGGGACAGGCUGCCCGAUAGAGCCGCGUUCCUGAAGAUCGUCAAGCAAGGAGUGGGCCUGUCAUCGCUCUUCGACCUCCGGGACCUCUUCCCAUCGUCGCGGCUAGUUCGGCUUCUGCCGCGCAGCAGUAGGGCGGAGCGGCAGCGUCAAGAAAUGUUCAGGCUCAUGGACAACAUCCUUAAGACCCACGAGGAGAGGAGGAUGGGUAGAGAUGGAGACGACGAACAGGACAUGGUCGAUGUGUUGUUGAGGAUCCAGAAAGAAGGCAACAUGCGAGUUUCCCUAACCGACGGAGUCAUAAGGGCACUGCUCAUAGUAAGCUCUAUCGAUCUUAAAACCAAAGUUUCAAAUAACGGGCUAUGA
RNAcentral lists this ribosomal RNA (1038 nucleotides) under Triticum aestivum (bread wheat). RNAcentral's name for it is "partial small subunit ribosomal RNA". Lineage: Eukaryota; Viridiplantae; Streptophyta; Magnoliopsida; Poales; Poaceae. The record is from RNAcentral.